GCCGACGUAGCUCAGGUGGUAGAGCAACGCUUUCGUAAAGCGUAGGUCGCCGGUUCGAGUCCGGCCGUCGGCUCCA
RNAcentral lists this transfer RNA (76 nucleotides) under Bdellovibrio sp. RNAcentral describes it as "tRNA-Thr". It matches the Rfam family "tRNA". From Rfam's summary of the family: Transfer RNA (tRNA) molecules are approximately 80 nucleotides in length. Lineage: Bacteria; Pseudomonadati; Bdellovibrionota; Bdellovibrionia; Bdellovibrionales; Pseudobdellovibrionaceae. RNAcentral also lists the same sequence under 3 other names. The record is from RNAcentral.